RNAcentral lists this ribosomal RNA (1345 nucleotides) under uncultured bacterium. Its description in RNAcentral is "bacterial SSU rRNA". It matches the Rfam family "Bacterial small subunit ribosomal RNA", at positions 28 to 1381 of the family's 1533-position model. The record is from RNAcentral.
GAUGAACGCUGGCGGCGUGCUUAACACAUGCAAGUCGAACGGUGAACCAGGAGCUUGCUCUUGGGGAUCAGUGGCGAACGGGUGAGUAACACGUGAGCAAUCUGCCCCUGACUCUGGGAUAAGCGCUGGAAACGGCGUCUAAUACUGGAUACGAGCCGUGAAGGCAUCUUCGACGGUUGGAAAGAUUUUUCGGUCAGGGAUGAGCUCGCGGCCUAUCAGCUUGUUGGUGAGGUAAUGGCUCACCAAGGCGUCGACGGGUAGCCGGCCUGAGAGGGUGACCGGCCACACUGGGACUGAGACACGGCCCAGACUCCUACGGGAGGCAGCAGUGGGGAAUAUUGCACAAUGGGCGCAAGCCUGAUGCAGCAACGCCGCGUGAGGGAUGACGGCCUUCGGGUUGUAAACCUCUUUUAGCAGGGAAGAAGCGAAAGUGACGGUACCUGCAGAAAAAGCGCCGGCUAACUACGUGCCAGCAGCCGCGGUAAUACGUAGGGCGCAAGCGUUAUCCGGAAUUAUUGGGCGUAAAGAGCUCGUAGGCGGUUUGUCGCGUCUGCUGUGAAAUCCCGAGGCUCAACCUCGGGUCUGCAGUGGGUACGGGCAGACUAGAGUGCGGUAGGGGAGAUUGGAAUUCCUGGUGUAGCGGUGGAAUGCGCAGAUAUCAGGAGGAACACCGAUGGCGAAGGCAGAUCUCUGGGCCGUAACUGACGCUGAGGAGCGAAAGGGUGGGGAGCAAACAGGCUUAGAUACCCUGGUAGUCCACCCCGUAAACGUUGGGAACUAGUUGUGGGGUCCAUUCCACGGAUUCCGUGACGCAGCUAACGCAUUAAGUUCCCCGCCUGGGGAGUACGGCCGCAAGGCUAAAACUCAAAGGAAUUGACGGGGACCCGCACAAGCGGCGGAGCAUGCGGAUUAAUUCGAUGCAACGCGAAGAACCUUACCAAGGCUUGACAUACACGAGAACGCUGCAGAAAUGUAGAACUCUUUGGACACUCGUGAACAGGUGGUGCAUGGUUGUCGUCAGCUCGUGUCGUGAGAUGUUGGGUUAAGUCCCGCAACGAGCGCAACCCUCGUUCUAUGUUGCCAGCACGUAAUGGUGGGAACUCAUGGGAUACUGCCGGGGUCAACUCGGAGGAAGGUGGGGAUGACGUCAAAUCAUCAUGCCCCUUAUGUCUUGGGCUUCACGCAUGCUACAAUGGCCGGUACAAAGGGCUGCGAUACCGUAAGGUGGAGCGAAUCCCAAAAAGCCGGUCCCAGUUCGGAUUGAGGUCUGCAACUCGACCUCAUGAAGUCGGAGUCGCUAGUAAUCGCAGAUCAGCAACGCUGCGGUGAAUACGUUCCCGGGUCU